This 345-nucleotide ribosomal RNA is filed under the name uncultured eukaryote. RNAcentral describes it as "SSU rRNA". It matches the Rfam family "Eukaryotic small subunit ribosomal RNA", at positions 594 to 945 of the family's 1831-position model. The record is from RNAcentral.
AUAGCGUAUAUUAAAGUUGUUGCAGUUAAAAAGCUCGUAGUUGAACCUUGGGCCUGGUUGCUCGGUCCGCCUAACCGCGUGCACUGAUGCGACCGGGCCUUUCCUUCUGGCUAGCCCCAUGCCCUUCACUGGGUGUGGUGGGGAACCAGGACUUUUACUUUGAAAAAAUUAGAGUGUUCAAAGCAGGCCUGUGCUCGAAUACAUUAGCAUGGAAUAAUAGAAUAGGACGGCGGUUCUAUUUUGUUGGUUUCUAGAGCCACCGUAAUGAUUAAUAGGGAUAGUCGGGGGCAUCCGUAUUCAAUUGUCAGAGGUGAAAUUCUUGGAUUUAUUGAAGACGAACUACUG